RNAcentral lists this transfer RNA (67 nucleotides) under Cryptocellus narino. RNAcentral describes it as "tRNA-Gln". The record is from RNAcentral. Lineage: Eukaryota; Metazoa; Arthropoda; Arachnida; Ricinulei; Ricinoididae.
UACUCAACGGUGUAUUGAGGCACGAAAAUUUUUGGUGUUUUAGGUUUUGGAUUUCCAUUUUGGGUAG